RNAcentral lists this ribosomal RNA (519 nucleotides) under uncultured bacterium. Its description in RNAcentral is "partial 16S ribosomal RNA". It matches the Rfam family "Bacterial small subunit ribosomal RNA", at positions 355 to 866 of the family's 1533-position model. The record is from RNAcentral.
UGGGGAAUUUUGGACAAUGGGCGAAAGCCUGAUCCAGCAAUGCCGCGUGUGUGAAGAAGGCCUUCGGGUUGUAAAGCACUUUUGUCCGGAAAGAAAUCCUCUGGGUUAAUACCUCGGGGGGAUGACGGUACCGGAAGAAUAAGCACUGGCUAACUACGUGCCAGCAGCCGCGGUAAUACGUAGGGUGCAAGCGUUAAUCGGAAUUACUGGGCGUAAAGCGUGCGCAGGCGGUUUUGUAAGACGGAUGUGAAAUCCCCGGGCUUAACCUGGGAACUGCAUUCGUGACUGCAAGGCUAGAGUAUGGCAGAGGGGGGUAGAAUUCCACGUGUAGCAGUGAAAUGCGUAGAGAUGUGGAGGAAUACCGAUGGCGAAGGCAGCCCCCUGGGCCAAUACUGACGCUCAUGCACGAAAGCGUGGGGAGCAAAACAGGAUUAGAUACCCUGGUAGUCCACGCCCUAAACGAUGUCAACUAGUUGUUGGGGAUUCAUUUCCUUAGUAACGUAGCUAACGCGUGAAGUU